Molecule: long non-coding RNA, 524 nt
Filed under: Junco hyemalis (dark-eyed junco)
Lineage: Eukaryota; Metazoa; Chordata; Aves; Passeriformes; Passerellidae
Description: lncRNA (ENSJHYG00000014879.1)
Source: RNAcentral
GAACAGAUUAUCCCAGAAGGUGCUGGGUGUCAAACAUCCCUAUCAGACAAGUGGGAAGCCUGGGUGGAAAAUGGUGGGACUGUCUGAGGACUGGAAAUAAGGAGCAACUGGGAGCAAAAGAGCCACAACAAAGAAACUCAGUAGAUUCUUCACUUCAGUCUUGAUGUCAUGCUGCUGGCUCCUUUUAGAGCCAUGAUAUUCAAACUCCCUCCCAUACCCUCAAGAAACAGACACAGGAGAGAUGUCUCAAACUGGAGUGUAAGGAGGAACAGAGAAAUAGAAAUUGAUGUGGACUUACCGGGCCUGCUUGAAGCCAGCUUUUGUUGCAAUCAUGAGAAAUAUAUAUUGACAUAUAUGAAGAAGACUAGAAGGGAAAUCUGUGAGCAUACAUGUGCAUCUUCAUUUUGAAAUGCAACACACAAGAGAAGAGCUGCUGCACUGCCUCAGGGAAAAAAAAAAAGAGUUUAGCUGAGCAUUGCAUGGAUCCUCUUGCUUUUUCAGGAAUAAACCCUGAGUGGUUUGCA